RNAcentral lists this long non-coding RNA (206 nucleotides) under Amborella trichopoda. RNAcentral describes it as "long non-coding RNA (ATRI_LNC000849)". Lineage: Eukaryota; Viridiplantae; Streptophyta; Magnoliopsida; Amborellales; Amborellaceae. The record is from RNAcentral.
UCAAAAUUGAUGACGGUUAAAGAAUGUGCUUUUAAUCUUCAGGAAGAUCAUGCUCGCACCAUUAUCAAGGGAGAGAGAUUCAACAAAUGUAGUCAAAUGGUGUGUUCAUCCAAGCCUUGUCCCAUGACGAUUGACGCCUGUAAUGGAUGAAAUCAUUUUAUCCACACAAGGCAGGGAGGUGAUCUUCUGUCAUAUCAACAGAGAAA